RNAcentral lists this ribosomal RNA (292 nucleotides) under uncultured bacterium. Its description in RNAcentral is "partial 16S ribosomal RNA". It matches the Rfam family "Bacterial small subunit ribosomal RNA", at positions 505 to 796 of the family's 1533-position model. The record is from RNAcentral.
GUGUCAGCCGCCGCGGUAAGACGAACCGUGCGAACGUUGUUCGGAAUCACUGGGCUUAAAGGGCGCGUAGGCGGGCGUGCAAGUCAGGGGUGAAAUCCUCCGGCUCAACCGGAGAACAGCUUUUGAUACUGCACGCCUCGAGGGGGGUAGGGGCAUGUGGAACUUCCGGUGGAGCGGUGAAAUGCGUAGAUAUCGGAAGGAACGCCGGUGGCGAAAGCGACGUGCUGGACCCCUUCUGACGCUGAGGCGCGAAAGCCAGGGGAGCAAACGGGAUUAGAAACCCUGGUAGUCC